RNAcentral lists this ribosomal RNA (460 nucleotides) under uncultured bacterium. Its description in RNAcentral is "partial 16S ribosomal RNA". It matches the Rfam family "Bacterial small subunit ribosomal RNA", at positions 338 to 795 of the family's 1533-position model. The record is from RNAcentral.
CCUACGGGGGGCAGCAGUGAGGAAUAUUGGUCAAUGGUCGGGAGACUGAACCAGCCAAGCCGCGUGAGGGAGGAAGGUACAGAGUAUCGUAAACCUCUUUUGUCAGGGAACAAAGGCGGGGACGUGUCCCCGGAUGAGUGUACCUUAAGAAAAAGCAUCGGCUAACUCCGUGCCAGCAGCCGCGGUAAUACGGAGGUGGCAAGCGUUGUCCGGAUUUACUGGGUGUAAAGGGCGUGCAGCCGGGAAGACAAGUCAGAUGUGAAAUCCCGCGGCUCAACCGCGGAACUGCAUUUGAAACUGUUAGUCUUGAGUAUCGGAGAGGUAAUCGGAAUUCCUAGUGUAGCGGUGAAAUGCGUAGAUAUUAGGAAGAACACCAGUGGCGAAGGCGGAUUACUGGACGACAACUGACGGUGAGGCGCGAAAGCGUGGGGAGCAAACAGGAUUAGAUACCCCUGUAGUC